CGAAAAAUGUCCCAGAGCUAAUACCCUUCAGAAAGUCAGAGGUGAGAGGAGGAACUAGAGUUCAAGGCAAAGAUCUGGGAAGCGGGAGAGGGCAGAAGCAAGUCACAGGAAGGCAGGCAUUUAAGACAUGCGGAGAGUGGCCUUCUGAGAGAGCAGAGGGAAGGUGGAUGGCAGCUCCGUGAUCAUGUGCUGUCGAAUCAAUCCUUGGGGAGAAGAGGAGCUGAAAAAAUAUUUGGGAGCUAUCACAGGAGGUGUCUUCUGAGCUGCUGUGGAGUGGAUGGAGAUGACGAAGGCCGUCGUGGACACUGAUUUGUAGCAGGGGAGAUGCGAACAUGGUGAAAUUAUGAUGGAGGGAAGAUGGUGACGGUGAAUAUAGGCUGUACUUAGAUCCAGAAAGAGAAAAAUAGAUUAAAAAACAAAGCUUUCCCCCAGAUCAAGGGGCAGGUUCAGGGACCGUGCGCCACAACUACUGAGCCUGCGCUCUAGAGCCCGCGAGCCACAACUACGGAGCCCGUGUACCUAGAGCCUGUGCUCUGGAACAAGAGAAGCCACCGCAAUGAGAAGCCCGCGCACCGCAACGAAGAGCAGCCCCCGCUCGCCGCAACUAGAGAAAGCCUGCGUGCAGCAAUGAAGACCCAA
This is a long non-coding RNA of Balaenoptera acutorostrata (minke whale), 639 nucleotides long. RefSeq lists it as uncharacterized. NCBI's taxonomy places the organism in Eukaryota, Metazoa, Chordata, Mammalia, Artiodactyla, Balaenopteridae. The transcript is spliced from 3 exons. The record is from RefSeq and is a predicted model, not a curated record.